Molecule: ribosomal RNA, 486 nt
Filed under: uncultured bacterium
Lineage: Bacteria
Description: bacterial SSU rRNA
Rfam family: Bacterial small subunit ribosomal RNA
Source: RNAcentral
GAUGAACGCUAGCGGCAGGCUUAACACAUGCAAGUCGAGGGGCAACACGGGUAGCAAUACCUGGUGGCGACCGGCGCAAGGGUGCGUAACGCGUGAGCAACAUGCCCUAUACAGGGGGGAUAAUCCAGGGAAACUUGGUCUAAUAUCCCAUAGUAUUUAGAGGUGGCAUCACCACUAAAUUAAAGCUUCGGUGGUAUAGGAUUGGCUCGCGUGACAUUAGCUGGAUGGUGGGGUAACGGCUCACCAUGGCGAUGAUGUCUAGGGGUUCUGAGAGGAAGACCCCCCACACUGGGACUGAGACACGGCCCAGACUCCUACGGGAGGCAGCAGUGAGGAAUAUUGGACAAUGGAUGGAAAUCUGAUCCAGCCAUGCCGCGUGCAGGAAGACGGCCCUAUGGGUUGUAAACUGCUUUUAUAUGGGAGCAAUAAGGUUUACGCGUAGACCGAUGAGAGUACCAUAUGAAUAAGCAUCGGCUAACUCCGUCG